This is a non-coding RNA of Podarcis lilfordi (Lilford's wall lizard), 2465 nucleotides long. The record is from the annotation of a GenBank genome assembly. NCBI's taxonomy places the organism in Eukaryota, Metazoa, Chordata, Lepidosauria, Squamata, Lacertidae.
UGGAAGGGAUCCCGAGGGUCAUCUUGUCCGAUCGCUUGCAAUGUGAAAAACACUGAGAAACAAUUACAGCUAAAACAUUAUUUCAGCCAGUGUUGUGAGAUUGAGAGGUUUGAACAGGGGAGGGUUAGCAGAGUUAGAAUGACUGCAAAACACUCCUAGUAAUUAGUUGGCGAAGGGGAGGGUGACGCUGAGGUUGAUGAAGCCAGUAGAAUACAGCUUCAUCUGAUCAGCCACUCGUUGAGAAAGCAAAUGGAAGACUGUGCUUGCUUGAGCUCUGCAAGGAACUGAAGCAGCCCAUUGGGGUGGGAUGGAACCACUACACUUGCUUACUGGUUGGUCAGGUGGAGUCAGGUGACAGGGAGGGUAGCAUGAUGCAAACACACCCGUGGAGCUAACCUGGCGCUCCUGCCAGUGCAACUGCAUGUUUCUGUCAAGGUGAGUGUCAGGAGCAGGUCAGCAAUAAUUCACACGGUGUCAAUGAAGUUAACUCUCUUUUUUCAAAGAAAUAGGAACAGCUCAGGAGGCCAGGCCUUGUGAGCACGGCAACAUUUCCCAGUAGGUCUUGCCCCAGUGAGGCAGCUGCAAGGACUGAAGGUCCCUGCCUUCUCACAGCUACCUAAGUCUCCUCCUUCCCCAGUGCCUUCCCAAGCAAUCAGAGACUCUGAUGCCGUCUGUCUUUGCCUCGCCCUCUUCAUACCUCUACUGGUCCUGGGAGACCAGCAGGGAUGGGAGCUGGGCGCAGUAGGAGUGGGAGACCCCCUGGCUUCUUCAGCAGCCUGCCUCAUCUCUGCCUCUUCCCCCCCCCCUCCAGCCUCCACUUCUGCCUCUGAUUCUGGACUGCUCUCUGCCGCAGCCUCUUUCUGCUCACUAACCAUCUUCAGCUUCCAACACCACCUCCUCCCAGUCUGCUCCCUCUUCUCCCUCUGACCACUCAUCGUCGUCCUACCACCAAUCCCCUGGGGGAUCGCCUUGGCCCUCUCCCUCUUCGUGAGCAACAGAAACCCACUCAACAAGUUACUUCUAACAAGGAGAACAGAGGUUUUUCCAACAUCUGUUAUUCCUGUUGGGUUAUUUAUUUAUUUAUUUAUUAUUAUUGUUAAAUUGGUUUAAGCUGUUCUUAAUAUUGUGUUUUCAUAUUAAUGAUUUUUUAAAAAAAUGUAACCUGCCCUCGGACCUUUGGAUAAAGGGUGAGUAAUUAAGAAUAAUAAUUUAUAUUCUGUGACUUAAUACCAUAAUAAGGAACAACUUGGAAUUUUAUACAUUUUAGUGCAGUUUCUCCCUUUCUGUUGCAAAGAAAGAUUUAUGCACUUUUACUAGGUUAAAAAUUGACCUGCAAAGGUCAGUCUUCUUCCCCCAUGUUUAAUUUCUUCUGCUUUUUUUCUAGGAUGGAGAGCACAUUUCUAAAAAAAGCAUGUGAAUCUUGUCGCCAAACUAGAUUUCUUACCUCUUGCAUGCAAAUUAUUCUCUUCUGGUAAUACAGAAAUGGAUUUAAUUGGUAUGCUAUGUCUAAAGAAGACAAGCGCUCACAACUCUGACCCUUUGCUACGUCAGCCCAUGAAUAAGCCAGGGUUCUCUAGGGCCCUCUAUCAAUGUGGAUCCAUCACUCAAAAGGUUGUGUCAAGGAUGCUCAGGGGUCAGAGUCAUUGCAUGGAUAUUGCACAUGGCACAGAGAUAGCAUGAGGAGCUGCUAGGAGGAUACAGGAGAAGUGUAUGAGAUGGGCAAAGAGAGAGAAAGAAAUCUGCUUUGAGAUAAUAGUAAGAACUGUAAUCACCCCAAUCCUUAUAAUGAAAAGUCUUACUGAUUUUUAGGAGGGCUGAGCAACUGCCACCGUGUUGUCUAUUUGAAAAGAAGCUUUGACAACAGUUGUGCUAACUCUCUCUCCAGAAACAUUUGUCCUUUUUAACCUUCACUUGAAAGAAAUGUUUUGUCCUGUGAGAUAAGUAGCUCCAUUUCAUCCAAGCCUAAAAAUACCACGUUGUUUACUUAACAUCGGUUUAUUCUGCAAAAAGUAAAACAUAAAUCAAUACCUGAAAUUGUUAUCUGCAAUUUAUUUGUACAUUAUGUUCUCUAGACUUGAGAGGUACUGCUGAGUAAGUAUAUGAGGAGGCUGACCGUUUCCCUGGAGAUCUAAUGCAGGAGGAGUGGACUUCGGCUGUCUGUUAAAGUGCUAAGUUGUGUCUAAACCUAGGCCAACCUCUACAUUUUUAAAGAAAUGCAAAUACUUUAAAAUGACAAGCCCCCAGCAAAAGGACGUGUCAUUUUAGGAGCUGAAACUUAAUUUUUGCACAUUUCUUCGGUGAGGGGUCUUUAAAAUAUGUUUUGGGGUGUGAGGAAUUCAAAUCUGCUGUUAUUUUUUUGUGUGACUGGACAACAUUUAGCUUGGUAAGUCUACGUGUGAUGAAGAAGCACAUAAAUUGCUUUCAGAAAACCAAAAAAAUUUAAUUUUACCUUCUGAAAAUGUCAG